Molecule: ribosomal RNA, 376 nt
Filed under: uncultured bacterium
Lineage: Bacteria
Description: bacterial SSU rRNA
Rfam family: Bacterial small subunit ribosomal RNA
Source: RNAcentral
UACCAUGCAGUCGACGGUAACGGGCCUUCGGGUGCCGACGAGUGGCGAACGGGUGAGUAAUGCAUCGGAACGUACCUUUCAGUGGGGGAUAACGUAGCGAAAGUUACGCUAAUACCGCAUAUUCUGUGAGCAGGAAAGCAGGGGAUCGCAAGACCUUGCGCUGAUUGAGCGGCCGAUGUCAGAUUAGCUAGUUGGUGAGGUAAAGGCUCACCAAGGCGACGAUCUGUAGCGGGUCUGAGAGGAUGAUCCGCCACACUGGAACUGAGACACGGUCCAGACUCCUACGGGAGGCAGCAGUGGGGAAUUUUGGACAAUGGGGGCAACCCUGAUCCAGCCAUGCCGCGUGAGUGAAGAAGGCCUUCGGGUUGUAAAGCUC